RNAcentral lists this microRNA precursor (97 nucleotides) under Nicotiana sylvestris (wood tobacco). Its description in RNAcentral is "MIR6152 microRNA precursor family". It matches the Rfam family "MIR6152 microRNA precursor family". Lineage: Eukaryota; Viridiplantae; Streptophyta; Magnoliopsida; Solanales; Solanaceae. The record is from Rfam by way of RNAcentral.
UGGACAUAUUAUUGUAUUCGACUGUAUUCACGGCGUGAAAUAAGGGAUUACACUGUUUUUAAAAGGGAAAGUGAAUCAAUUAACAUAAUAAACUUUU